This 1481-nucleotide ribosomal RNA is filed under the name uncultured bacterium. Its description in RNAcentral is "bacterial SSU rRNA". It matches the Rfam family "Bacterial small subunit ribosomal RNA". The record is from RNAcentral.
AGGGUUUGAUUAUGGCUCAGGAUGAACGCUGGCGGCGUGCUUAACACAUGCAAGUCGAGCGGUCUCUUCGGAGAUAGUGGCGGACGGGUGAGUAACGCGUGAGAAUCUACCUUUAGGUUCGGGACAACAGUUGGAAACGACUGCUAAUACCGAAUGUGUCGCAGGACGAAAGAUUUAUUGCCUAGAGAUGAGCUCGCGUCUGAUUAGCUAGUUGGUGUGGCACAAAUGGCGUACCAAGGCGACGAAUACCGAUAGCUGGUUCUGAGAGGAUGAUCAGCCAACACUGGGACUGAGACACGGCCCAGACUCCCUACGGGAGGCAGCAGUGGGGGAUUUUCGGCAAUGGGCGAAAGGCUGACGGAGCAACGCCCGGCGUGAGGGAGGAAGGCUCUUGGGUUGUAAACCUCUUUUCUCCAAGGAAGAUAAUGACGGUACUUGAGGAAUUCAGCAUCGGCCAACUCCGUGCCAGCAGCCGCGGUAAUACGGAGGAUGCAAGCGUUAUCCGGAAUAAUUUGGCCGUAAAGCGUUCGUAGGUGGCUUUGUAAGUCUGCUGUUAAAGCGUGUAGCUCAACUACAUAUAGGCGGUGGAAACUACAAAACUAGAGUGCGUUCGGGGCAGAGGGAAUUCCUGGUGUAGCGGUGAAAUGCGUAGAUAUCAGGAAGAACACCGGUGGCGAAGGCGCUCUGCUAGGCCGUAACUGACACUGAGGGACGAAAGCUAGGGGAGCGAAUGGGAUUAGAUACCCCCAGUAGUCCUAGCUGUAAACGAUGGAUACUAGGCGUUGUCUGUAUCGACCCGGACAGUGCCGUAGCUAACGCGUUAAGUAUCCCGCCUGGGGAGUACGCACGCAAGUGUGAAACUCAAAGGAAUUGACGGGGGCCCGCACAAGCGGUGGAGUAUGUGGUUUAAUUCGAUGCAACGCGAAGAACCUUACCAAGGCUUGACAUGUCCCGGAACUUUUGGGAAACCAGAAGGUGCCUUCGGGAACCGGAACACAGGUGGUGCAUGGCUGUCGUCAGCUCGUGUCGUGAGAUGUUGGGUUAGGCCCCCGCCAACGAGCGCAUCCCUCGUUUUUAGUUGCCAGCACUUUAGGGUGGGCCCUCCUAGAGAGAACUGCCCGGUGGACAAACCUGAGGAAGGUGGGGAUGACGCUCAAGUCAUCAUGGCCCUUACGUCUUGGGACUUACACACCGUACAUACAAAGUGCUCUAUGGACAAAGAGUAUCGCUAAGUGUGCGACAGUGCGCUAAUCUCAUAAACCAUGGCUCAGUUCAGAUCGCAGGCUGCAACUCGCCUGCAUGAAGUAGGAAUCGCUAGUAAUUGCAGGUCAGCAUACUGCAGUGAAUUCGCUCCCGGGCCUUGUACACACCGCCCGUCACACCGUGGAAGUUGGUCACGCCCGAAGUCGUUACCCUAACCGAAAGGAGGGGGAUGCCGAAGGUAGGGCUGAUGACUGGGGUGAAGUCGUAACAAGGUAACC